Cimex lectularius (bed bug) is the source of this 223-nucleotide long non-coding RNA. RefSeq lists it as uncharacterized. Lineage: Eukaryota; Metazoa; Arthropoda; Insecta; Hemiptera; Cimicidae. The transcript has 2 exons. The record is from RefSeq and is a predicted model, not a curated record.
UAUAUAUAAGUUAUCGGAUAUUAUCAGAUUGCAAUGCUAAGAUGCAGGUGGCAUUCUCAGAAUUGCAAUCAGCACUCUCUCCCACCAGGGAAACGUAAUUGUUUAUAAUUUAAAAUGUAAGAACAUUCCUUGCCUAGAAAUCAGUGAAGUCACAUCAUUGUAAUUGGUAAACUUAAUUAUUCUUUGUCAACUGUAUUUCGCAAAUAAAGUUUUUAAAAAGGAA